RNAcentral lists this ribosomal RNA (446 nucleotides) under uncultured bacterium. Its description in RNAcentral is "bacterial SSU rRNA". It matches the Rfam family "Bacterial small subunit ribosomal RNA", at positions 331 to 792 of the family's 1533-position model. The record is from RNAcentral.
CCAGACUCCUACGGGAGGCAGCAGUGGGGAAUAUUGGGCAAUGGGCGCAAGCCUGACCCAGCGACGCCGCGUGAGGGAAGACGGUCUUCGGAUUGUAAACCUCUUUCAGCAGGGAAGACAAAAGGACGGUACCUGCAGAAGAAGCCACGGCUAACUACGUGCCAGCAGCCGCGGUAAUACGUAGGUGGCAAGCGUUAUCCGGAAUUAUUGGGUGUAAAGGGUGCGUAGACGGGAUAACAAGUUGGUUGUGAAACCCCUCGGCUCAACUGAGGAACUGCAACCAAAACUAUUAUUCUUGAGUGCAGGAGAGGAAAGUGGAAUUCCUAGUGUAGCGGUGAAAUGCGUAGAUAUUAGGAGGAACACCGGUGGCGAAGGCGACUUUCUGGACGAUAACUGACGUUGAGGCACGAAAGUGUGGGGAGCAAACAGGAUUAGAUACCCGAGUA